This 65-nucleotide transfer RNA is filed under the name Upogebia affinis. RNAcentral's name for it is "tRNA-His". Lineage: Eukaryota; Metazoa; Arthropoda; Malacostraca; Decapoda; Upogebiidae. The record is from RNAcentral.
GUCUAAGUAGUUUAAAAAAAAUAUUGGUUUGUGGGACCAAAGAUAUAAAUUAUUUAUUUUAGACC